UACAGAGGUCCCUAGCGUUGUUCGGAUUUACUGGGCGUGAAGGGCGCGUAGGCGGCCAGGCAAGUCAAGUGUGAAAUCUCCGGGCUCAACCCGGAACGUGCGCUUGAGACUGCCCGGCUCGAGGCCGGGAGAGGGAAUCGGAAUAUAGGGUGUAGCGGUGAAAUGCGUUGAUAUCCUAUAGAACACCGGAGGCGAAGGCGGAUUCCUUGGACGGCACUGACGCUGAGGCGCGAAAGUCGGGGGAGCAAAC
This 250-nucleotide ribosomal RNA is filed under the name uncultured prokaryote. Its description in RNAcentral is "partial 16S ribosomal RNA". It matches the Rfam family "Bacterial small subunit ribosomal RNA", at positions 524 to 773 of the family's 1533-position model. The record is from RNAcentral.